This 259-nucleotide ribosomal RNA is filed under the name uncultured Fastidiosipila sp. Its description in RNAcentral is "partial 16S ribosomal RNA". It matches the Rfam family "Bacterial small subunit ribosomal RNA", at positions 1123 to 1382 of the family's 1533-position model. The record is from RNAcentral. Lineage: Bacteria; Bacillati; Bacillota; Clostridia; Eubacteriales; Oscillospiraceae.
CAUUAAGUUGGGGACGUCUGGCGAGACUGCCGUGGAUAACACGGAGGAAGGUGGGGACGACGUCAAAUCAUCAUGCCCCUUAUGUCCUGGGCUACACACGUACUACAAUGGCAACAACAAUGAGCAGCAAAACCGCGAGGUCAAGCGAAUCUACAAAUGUUGUCCCAGUUCGGAUUGCAGGCUGCAACUCGCCUGCAUGAAGUCGGAAUUGCUAGUAAUGGCAGGUCAGCAUACUGCCGUGAAUACGUUCCCGGGCCUU